CCUACGGGAUGCAGCAGUGAGGCAUAUUGGUCCAUGGGCUUACGCCUGAACCAGCCAAGUCGCGUGAGGGAAGACUGCCCUAUGGGUUGUAAACCUCUUUUUUCAGUGCUCAACGCCGGCUACGUGUAGCCGGACUGAGAGUACCUGAAGAAAAAUCAUCGGCUAACUCCGUGCCAGCAGCCGCGGUAAUACGGAGUAUGCGAGCGUUAUCCGGAUUUAUUGGGUUUAAAGGGUGCGUAGGCGGAAUGCCAAGUCAGCGGUAAAAUCGCGGGGCUCAACCUCGCUCCGCCGUUGAAACUGGCGUUCGUGAGUACAGUAGAGGUGGGCGGAAGUCGUGGUGUAGCGGUGAAAUGCUUAGAUAUCACGAAAAACUCCGAUUGCGAAGGCAGUUCACUGGACUGCAACUGACACUGAGGCUCGAAAGUGUGGGUAUCAAACAGGAUUAGAUACCCUGGUAGUC
RNAcentral lists this ribosomal RNA (460 nucleotides) under uncultured bacterium. Its description in RNAcentral is "partial 16S ribosomal RNA". It matches the Rfam family "Bacterial small subunit ribosomal RNA", at positions 338 to 795 of the family's 1533-position model. The record is from RNAcentral.